RNAcentral lists this ribosomal RNA (495 nucleotides) under uncultured bacterium. Its description in RNAcentral is "partial 16S ribosomal RNA". It matches the Rfam family "Bacterial small subunit ribosomal RNA", at positions 28 to 507 of the family's 1533-position model. The record is from RNAcentral.
GACGAACGCUGGCGGCGUGCCUAAUACAUGCAAGUAGAACGCUGAAGGAGGAGCUUGCUUCUCUGGAUGAGUUGCGAACGGGUGAGUAACGCGUAGGUAACCUGCCUGGUAGCGGGGGAUAACUAUUGGAAACGAUAGCUAAUACCGCAUAAGAGUAGAUGUUGCAUGACAUUUGCUUAAAAGGUGCAAUUGCAUCACUACCAGAUGGACCUGCGUUGUAUUAGCUAGUUGGUGAGGUAACGGCUCACCAAGGCGACGAUACAUAGCCGACCUGAGAGGGUGAUCGGCCACACUGGGACUGAGACACGGCCCAGACUCCUACGGGAGGCAGCAGUAGGGAAUCUUCGGCAAUGGACGGAAGUCUGACCGAGCAACGCCGCGUGAGUGAAGAAGGUUUUCGGAUCGUAAAGCUCUGUUGUAAGAGAAGAACGAGUGUGAGAGUGGAAAGUUCACACUGUGACGGUACCUUACCAGAAAGGGACGGCUAACUACGUG